Molecule: small RNA, 90 nt
Filed under: Klebsiella pneumoniae
Lineage: Bacteria; Pseudomonadati; Pseudomonadota; Gammaproteobacteria; Enterobacterales; Enterobacteriaceae
Description: partial RtT sRNA
Rfam family: RtT RNA
About the family: This family represents a bacterial cis-regulatory element known as RtT RNA.
Source: RNAcentral
UAUUCUGCCCCACGGGGAAGGAUGAGAAGCUUCGACUAAGGUUCGACUCGAGCGAAGCGAGAGAACGUUGCCGCAGGCAAAGGCCCGAAG